CAAAAUUAGGAUUUCUUAUAUAUAAAUCAACACUUCUUUUUCUUAGUAGAUGAUACUACUUACUCUUUAUAAUGCUGUGGAAGUAAUCUCCACUGCUGUGACCAAGUUGCAAGUACUCAACACCUUCCUAAAUCAAUGAAAAGGUUUACAUUGCUUCAAACUUGGUCAUCUGUGGUUCUUGGUGUGUGGCUAUCACAAGUAUGUUGGCUUUCAUUCAAGCUCAAGGCACCUUUAUAAUGAGCAUCUUGGCUAGGCUGCUUGAGGUCAUGGCCAAAGCCAUGGUUUGUUUGGUGACGGCUUUGUUUGUUGGUCUUAUUGGUGGCAUUGCAUCUAUUAUUGCACAAUAUAACUGCAAUAAUGACACCAAUGAUGAGGAUAUUUUGAAAGUCUUGUUUCACAAUUAGUAUAGGCUGCAAUUGUUUCCAUUGUGCAUUUCUAUUUGUUGAUUUAGGAUGCAGUUGGAAUCAACUUGAUGGAAUGGUCAAUCAAUCAAGGAUAUUGAGAACGGCCAUUGAGCUAUAGUAUGUACCUACCAUGAGGAGAUUAAUUCCAAGGACGCCAUUGAGAAGUGCUCCAAUUUGCAAACAAAAUUUUACGUGAAAUGGAUUCAUUAUAAUGGCCAAUUUCUACAACUACAAAGAUUUUGUGGUGAGCCGGCCUCUAAUUUUUAUAAAUACAAGCAAGUCAAAUGUGACUUCUUUGUAAUUGGAUGAGAGAAGGACAAGUAUUAGCAAUGCCUUACUGACUUUUCUUUUGAGAGUAUUCUACACUCAAAACAGUUCCAGAGAGUUUGUCAAAUUUAAUAAGGAUGGAUUAUUUUAGAUAGCUCUAUAGAUAAAUUUCAUCCAUCUUUGAUUUAUUAAAAAUAAAACUUGGCCAGGUUCCUAGAAUAAGAUAAGUUAGGUAUUUUAGGAAAAGCCCUAGUUUAAAGUGGCCUUGUACAAUGCAUUGUACAUUGCAUUGUACUUGGUAUCAAGAUGUCUUUGCGUGCAUACUUCUAAUCAAAGCACUUUUUUAAAGCCAAUAUCCACACAAGAUUCAUAUUAAUAAAUACAUUGCUUACCAAGCCUCAUUUAGAAACCCUGCAUAGAUGCAACCAAAAAUAAACAGUCCUGAUUCCCCUCUCAACACCAAUUUUUUAGAUGAUGAGUGAUUUUCAAAACUUUCACUCAUCAUCUAAUUUUUUGGUUUUAUCUUUUUCUAACUCAUUGUCUAAUUUUAAAUCUCCUUUGGAAAAACAUCUAAUUUAAUUUAAAAGAAAAUAAAAUUCUC
RNAcentral lists this long non-coding RNA (1272 nucleotides) under Physcomitrium patens. RNAcentral's name for it is "long non-coding RNA (PPAT_LNC004721)". Lineage: Eukaryota; Viridiplantae; Streptophyta; Bryopsida; Funariales; Funariaceae. The record is from RNAcentral.